This 440-nucleotide long non-coding RNA is filed under the name Manihot esculenta (cassava). RNAcentral describes it as "long non-coding RNA (MESC_LNC001024)". Lineage: Eukaryota; Viridiplantae; Streptophyta; Magnoliopsida; Malpighiales; Euphorbiaceae. The record is from RNAcentral.
AUGCAUUUAAUUUUAAAAAUUUCCUUAUGUGGUUCAUAGAGGGAGUUGUGAUUAUCAAGCCUUCUUGCCAUCAAUAAGGGUAGGUCAUUUUUUUUUUGUGUAAAUGUUGUUGGUUUUGUCCCAUUGGCUUUGGUUUAUUGUUCGCAUGGUGAUUUUCUUUUUUGCCUUUUUGUUGGCAGACUUUAAUUGCAGUUCGGUGGGGUCAAAGAUUGAGCCAUUGUUUAGUUGUUUUGUGGUUGAAGCUCUUUUAUCUAGGUUUAGAGACUUCUAUUCUGAAACUGCUUGCAUGUCAAUGAUGUGGCAGCUUCAGGAAGGGGACGACCUUACUGUUUGUCGACCUUACUGUUUGUCGUUUGGUUUCCCUCCAACUGAAAGAUGGUGAGUCGGUGCAAGUGAAUAUUAGGGUUCAGUCAAGAGGUUUCAGCUUGUUUUGGUUUGAA